This 2483-nucleotide ribosomal RNA is filed under the name Clostridioides difficile. RNAcentral's name for it is "bacterial LSU rRNA". It matches the Rfam family "Bacterial large subunit ribosomal RNA", at positions 3 to 2508 of the family's 2925-position model. Lineage: Bacteria; Bacillati; Bacillota; Clostridia; Peptostreptococcales; Peptostreptococcaceae. The record is from RNAcentral.
UCAAGUUAUUAAGGGUGCAGGGCGGAUGCCUUGGCACUAGGAGCCGAUGAAGGACGUGAUAAGCUGCGAUAAGCUUCGGGGAGUUGCACGUAAACUUUGAUCCGAAGAUUUCCGAAUGAGGAAACUCACUUAGAGUAAUGUCUAAGUAUCAUUAAGUGAAUACAUAGCUUAAUGAGGGGAACUCAGGGAACUGAAACAUCUAAGUACCUGAAGGAAGAGAAAGAAAUUCGAUUCCGUAAGUAGCGGCGAGCGAACGCGGAUUAGCCCAAACCAAUAAAGUUUUCUUUAUUGGGGUUGCGGACAUAUCAUAACGAAGAGGUAUCGUAAUUGAAGAGGUUUGGAAAGACCCACCACAGAAGGUAAUAGUCCUGUAUGUUAAACGAGAAGACUUCAGAUAUGAUCCAGAGUACCACGGGACACGUGAAACCCUGUGGGAAGCAGGAGGGACCACCCUCCAAGGCUAAAUACUACCUAGUGACCGAUAGCGUAUAGUACCGUGAGGGAAAGGUGAAAAGAACCCCGGGAGGGGAGUGAAAUAGAACCUGAAACCCUGCACUUACAAGCUGUGGAAGCACAUUUCUUGUGUGACCGCGUACUUUUUGUAGAACGGGCCAACGAGUUACGUUAAGUAGCAAGGUUAAGCACUUAAGGUGCGGAGCCGUAGCGAAAGCGAGUUUUAACUGAGCGUUCAGUUACUUGACGUAGACCCGAAACCGGGCGACCUACCCAUGAGCAGGAUGAAGCGAAAGUAAAAUUUCGUGGAGGUCCGAACCCACGAGCGUUGAAAAGCUCGGGGAUGACUUGUGGGUAGCGGUGAAAUUCCAAUCGAGCCCGGAGAUAGCUGGUUCUCCCCGAAAUAGCUUUAGGGCUAGCCUCAAGGUGAGAGAUACGGAGGUAGAGCACUGAAUGUCCUAGGGGGUAUUGCACCUACCGAAGACUAUCAAACUCCGAAUGCCGUCAUCUUAUACUUGGGAGUCAGACUGUGGGUGAUAAGAUUCAUAGUCGAAAGGGCAACAGCCCAGAUCGUCAGCUAAGGUCCCUAAAUGUAAGUUAAGUGGUAAAGGAUGUGGGAUUGCACAGACAACCAGGAUGUUGGCUUAGAAGCAGCCACUCAUUCAAAGAGUGCGUAAUAGCUCACUGGUCGAGUGAUCCUGCGCCGAAGAUUUCCGGGGCUAAAACUUACUACCGAAGCUACGGCAUCAGUAAUGAUGGGUAGGGGAGCUUCCCAUACGGGUUGAAGCAUGACCGUAAGGACAUGUGGACAGUAUGGGAGUGAGAAUGUUGGCAUGAGUAGCGAGAUGUGGGUGAGAAUCCCACAGGCCGUAAACCCAAGGUUUCCAGGGGAAGGUUCGUCCGCCCUGGGUUAGUCGGGACCUAAGCUGAGGCCGAAAGGCGUAGGUGAUGGACAACAGGUUGAUAUUCCUGUACUACCGAUAACCGUUUGAGAGAAGGGAUGACACAGUAGGAUAAGCUAAGCACACUGUUGGUUAUGUGUGCCCAAGCAUUGAGGCAGUCAAAGUAGGCAAAUCCGCUUUGAUAAUGCUGGGAUGUGAUGGGGAGCGAAAUUUAGUAGCGAAGUAGCUGAUUUCACACUGUCAAGAAAAGUCUCUAUCGAGGUUAAAGGUACCCGUACCGCAAACCGACACAGGUGGGUGAGGAGAGUAUCCUAAGGCCAGCGAGAGAACUGUUGUUAAGGAACUCGGCAAAAUGACCCCGUAACUUAGGGAUAAGGGGUGCCACCAUCAGGUGGCCGCAGAGAAUAGGCCCAAGCGACUGUUUACCAAAAACAUAGGUUUCUGCUAAGUCGCAAGACGAUGUAUAGGAGCUGACGCCUGCCCGGUGCUGGAAGGUUAAGGGGAUCUGUUAGAGCAAUCGAAGCAGUGAACUUAAGCCCCAGUAAACGGCGGCCGUAACUAUAACGGUCCUAAGGUAGCGAAAUUCCUUGUCGGGUAAGUUCCGACCCGCACGAAAGGCGUAACGAUUUGGGCACUGUCUCAACAACAGACUCGGUGAAAUUGUAAUUCCGGUGAAGAUGCCGGAUACCUGCGACAGGACGGAAAGACCCCAUGGAGCUUUACUGUAGCUUGACAUUGGGUCUUGGUACUACAUGUACAGGAUAGGUGGGAGGCUUUGAAACCAGGACGCCAGUUUUGGCGGAGCCAUCCUUGGGAUACCACCCUUGUAGUACUGGGACUCUAACCAUAGGCCAUGAAUCUGGUCUUGGGACACUGUCAGGUGGGCAGUUUGACUGGGGCGGUCGCCUCCCAAAAGGUAACGGAGGCGCUCAAAGGUUCUCUCAGUACGGUCGGAAAUCGUACGUAGAGUGUAAAGGCAAAAGAGAGCUUGAUUGCAAGACAUACAGGUCGAGCAAGGAUGAAAAUCGGACUUAGUGAUCCGGUGGUUCUGCGUGGAAGGGCCAUCGCUCAACGGAUAAAAGCUACCCUGGGGAUAACAGGCUUAUCUCCCCCAAGAGUCCACAUCGA